AGCAGCCGCGGUAAUUCUAGCUCCAAUAGCGUAUAUUAAAGUUGUUGCAGUUAAAAAGCUCGUAGUUGAAUUUCGGGAUUGACGUGAUGGUCAUGCCUUAAGGGGUAUGAACUGUUGCAGUUGAUUUCUCACCUUCUGGAAAAACUUGAUGUCCUUUAUUGGGUGUCUUGCGGAACCAGGACCUUUACCUUGAAAAAAUUAGAGUGUUUAAAGCAGGCAUUUUUGCUCGAAUACAUUAGCAUGGAAUAAUAGAAUAGGACGGCAUGGUUCUAUUUUGUUGGUUUCUAGGAUCACCGUAAUGAUUAAUAGGAAUAGUUGGGGGCAUUAGUAUUCAAUUGUCAGAGGUGAAAUUCUUGGAUUUAUUGAAGACUAACUACUGCGAAAGCAUUUGCCAAGGAUGUUUUCAUUAAUCAAGAACGAAAGUUAGGGGAUCGAAGACGAUCAGAUACCGUCGUAGUCUUAACCAUAAACUAUGCCGACUAGGAAUCAGACGAUGUUAAUUUUUUAAAUGUACUCGUUU
This 520-nucleotide ribosomal RNA is filed under the name uncultured Entrophospora. Its description in RNAcentral is "SSU rRNA". It matches the Rfam family "Eukaryotic small subunit ribosomal RNA", at positions 569 to 1081 of the family's 1831-position model. The record is from RNAcentral. Lineage: Eukaryota; Fungi; Glomeromycota; Glomeromycetes; Entrophosporales; Entrophosporaceae.